AGUGAACGCUGGCGGUAGGCCUAACACAUGCAAGUCGAACGGCAGCACAGUAAGAGCUUGCUCUUACGGGUGGCGAGUGGCGGACGGGUGAGGAAUACAUCGGAAUCUACUUGUUCGAGGGGGAUAAAGUAGGGAAACUUACGCUAAUACCGCAUACGACCUACGGGUGAAAGCAGGGGAUCUUCGGACCUUGCGCGAUUGAAUGAGCCGAUGUCGGAUUAGCUAGUUGGCGGGGUAAAGGCCCACCAAGGCGACGAUCCGUAGCUGGUCUGAGAGGAUGAUCAGCCACACUGGAACUGAGACACGGUCCAGACUCCUACGGGAGGCAGCAGUGGGGAAUAUUGGACAAUGGGCGCAAGCCUGAUCCAGCCAUACCGCGUGGGUGAAGAAGGCCUUCGGGUUGUAAAGCCCUUUUGUUGGGAAAGAAAAGCAGCAGGUUAAUACCCCGCUGUUCUGACGGUACCCAAAGAAUAAGCACCGGCUAACUUCGUG
RNAcentral lists this ribosomal RNA (492 nucleotides) under uncultured bacterium. RNAcentral describes it as "partial 16S ribosomal RNA". It matches the Rfam family "Bacterial small subunit ribosomal RNA", at positions 29 to 507 of the family's 1533-position model. The record is from RNAcentral.